Molecule: long non-coding RNA, 1344 nt
Organism: Strigops habroptila (Kakapo)
Lineage: Eukaryota; Metazoa; Chordata; Aves; Psittaciformes; Psittacidae
Exons: 3
Source: RefSeq, a predicted model, not a curated record
GGUAUGCUACAUAUUGUUCAAUAGAAGAUGAUGUAAAAACCUCAAUAUCUACCAGACAGUGGUAAUUGGAAUACAGAGCCACAUUCUACUGCUAACAACACUGAGUGAAUGGAUAACUCCCUGAGGAAAAACACUGCUGAUUUCAGUGAUGAUUUUUAUUUGCUUCUUUGCUGUUUGGAAUUAUUUGCUUGUAUUUCCAUAGCUAAUUUUUGGUAUGUUGUCACUCAUGAAUGGAUAGGCUGGAGGGGACUUGCAGAUUUACUGAAUGCUGCCAGUUGUGAAAGGUGGCCUCAUUCUGUAAUCCCUCCACCAACUUGAACAAGUUUUCUGUUGAAAGUAUCAUUACUGAAAAGCCUCUUGGAGUUAUAAAUAUAUAAAGUUCUGACAUAAGUUUAUCCAUGGCUAGUAUGUUUACUCUUGUAUCAAAAAUGUUCUGUAGCUUUUAUAACUUCUUUGACUUGCCCACGUGUUUGCGUAAGACCAGUCAUAGUCCUUCUCUGUUCUGCUAAGUUAAAUAGAUUUUUUUUUUUUUUUUUUUUUUUUGUUUAGUUUUAUACCCUUUUGUAACAGGCUCUCAGUUGUCCCAGACAUCCUAGUGUCACCUUCAUACAUUGUGUUAAGAUUUUCUUGAAUGCUGAGGACAAGAAAUGUGUACAAUCUUUGAGGGAAAUUAUGGCUAAUGACUCUGGUAGUUCUGCUCAUUCAUGUCUAUACAUCCUAAAAUGACUUUCUUAAUCUUGCAUUCACCCUUUUGUAAGCUGCAUAUAUUUUUGUCUCUUACUUGAUCAAGGAUCAGCAAUAUACCCAGGAGGCUGCUUGUUUGGAGUCAUCAGCUUUGAUUACAAACCUACUUCAUUUAGUUUAAACUAGAACAACUGGAUCAAAGAUAACUUUUUUGUGAACAUCCAUCCUACAUAGUUCUCCCACUUCAUCAAAGCCAAAUUUUAGGUAACAUAUCUUACUGAGUCAGUGGAUAUUUAGUUGAAAAACAGCAUCUGCAACAGGAAUGAGGAUCAUGUGGUCCAAUGCACCCUUCAGUUAUACUCUAGCAGCAUCUUGCCUUGCAGUUGUAUCCUCUCUUAAAACUGCAUCUGUACAGCCUUCCAUGAGAUACCAGUUACAACUGAGGAUGUUAUUUGAAAAAUGAAGCUACACAAAGGAGGCUGGUUUUUUGUUUGUUUUGUUUUAUUUUUUGUUUUUAUGUGGCAAAUGAUGGUGCUCAUUAGAUGUACACUAGUCAUGAGCGAAUGGCAACAGUAAAUGCUGGUAUGACUCAACAUGUACAAAGACUAGAAAUGCAUCUAACAAGUUAGAAGAUGGAGUUGAGAAAUAGGCUUUUAGGGC